AUUGAACGCUGGCGGCAGGCCUAACACAUGCAAGUCGAGCGAGCGGCGGACGGGUGAGUAAUAUCUGGGGAACUGCCUGAUGGAGGGGGGUAAAUACUGGAGACGGUAGCGAAAAUCCCACACAAUCAGAUGUGACCAGAUGGGAGUAGCUAGUAGGUGGGGUAAUGGCCCACCUAGGCGACGAUCCCUAGCUGGUCUGAGAGGAUGACCAGCCACACUGGAACUGAGACACGGUCCAGACUCCUACGGGAGGCAGCAGUGGGGAAUAUUGCACAAUGGGCGCAAGCCUGAUGCAGCCAUGCCGCGUGUGUGAAGAAGGCCUUCGGGUUGUAAAGUACUUUCAGCGGGGAGGCGUUACCCGCAGAAGAAGCACCGGCUAACUCCGUGCCAGCAGCCGCGGUAAUUC
Molecule: ribosomal RNA, 406 nt
Filed under: uncultured bacterium
Lineage: Bacteria
Description: partial 16S ribosomal RNA
Rfam family: Bacterial small subunit ribosomal RNA
Source: RNAcentral